AGUGGUUAAAAGAUAGAACAGUCUAGUCAAGUGCCAUGUCUCUUAUUCUUGAUCAGCUAUAGCUCUGGUGUUUUUGCAGAUUUUCAAAUAAAACUCAGAGAUUCCUUGUAUGAUUCUCUCAUAUCUCUCUUUUGUGGUAUUUCUGGAUCCUUACCAAGGCAGUGAUGGUAUAUGCCUUCUCUCAAAAUAUGUAGUAUUUGUGGUAUAAGACAUAGUGACAUUGCCUUCUCUCUCAUCCUACUCUAAUAAGGCUUUGAUAUCUGGAGCUCAUAGGUGGGAGAUAAAAUAUACAUACUUACAAGACAUGUAUUGCAUAGUCAAACCAUGGAUCCAAAGAAACAAGUCAAUAAGCCAAAUCAAGAUGUGCAUGUGUGGCGAAUGAAUGGUGUAUGGUGAUGAUGGUGAUAACAAUGGUGAAAGUCUAAUUCUACUUUUGCUCUUUUGAGGGGAUAUAUACCUUCCUUGCUUUUUGAAAUUUUAUGAGGAGAAUGAGAUGCUCUUCUUUUUCUUUUCUCUCAGGUGGGUAUCUUGUACCCCUAAUUCUACUGUCGGACACUUGUCCAUUUUUACCUCUCGUCUCACUUUUUCUUUUCUUUCGAGGUUUCGGGCACUUGCCCCUUUUUAUUUCCCCGUAUCUUUUUUUUCAGAGCACUCAUCUCUUGAGAUAAUAUAGCAAGUGGUAGUAACAAGAUAACUUGAGCAUUUAUUUCACAAGGGAAAAACAGAAAUAUUUUUGGGUGAUUCUGAAGAUGGAAUGGGUGGAUAUAUGUGGAUGGUACUUCCAGAGUAGAAGUAGCAUAUAUGAGUGAACGUGCAAGUGAAUCUUGAUUUUAACCACAUGACAAGCUCCUAAGGGUCUACACAGCUUGACCACACUCAAUGCUCAUAAGCAGUAAAUAGUAAAUGUGUGGCUCAGAGUCUAGCAAGAAUGUAUAUAUGGCUGUGGUAGGAAUUUAAAACUCUCAUCAUACAGGAACUCAUCAUGCAACAUUUUAAAGAUUUUCAAAGAUAAAAUUCUCCAGAAUUCUAGUAUCUCUAGGAACAGAUAAACAGCAGCUCAACCUUCCCAUAUCGUAUCCGCUAACAACUUAGACUUCAGAUCAAGUUUUCAUCCCACAAGUUUAGGUCUUAGAGCAAGCUUUAAAUUAUAACAGUUAUAUCUAAACUUGAGAGAGAACUUAAAAUGUGCAAAUUAGGCAGAGCAACUAUUCAUCAUAUCCAUGCUAGAGUUUUAUUUAGAUACAGAUU
RNAcentral lists this long non-coding RNA (1248 nucleotides) under Sorghum bicolor (sorghum). RNAcentral describes it as "long non-coding RNA (SBIC_LNC013936)". Lineage: Eukaryota; Viridiplantae; Streptophyta; Magnoliopsida; Poales; Poaceae. The record is from RNAcentral.